Molecule: small RNA, 1561 nt
Filed under: Cryptococcus neoformans H99
Lineage: Eukaryota; Fungi; Basidiomycota; Tremellomycetes; Tremellales; Cryptococcaceae
Description: Cryptococcus neoformans var. grubii H99 hypothetical RNA
Source: RNAcentral
UUACAAUUGACUUUUUCCUCAUCCCGAACUAUCACUUCUCCAAUUCCCACCGACCAUCGGCCCCUGCCCUCCCUGCUGUCCUCCUAAAGGCGGACCCAUGACGCCAGUGCUGCUCAUACCUCCCAAUCCGAACACAGAGUUUAAGCCUUGACCCGCACUAUGAUUCCCUUUACCCAUUUGCUGCAUUGCCAGUUGCAUCUGCAUUUGCAUCGGCAUCUGAUUUUGACCUAGAGUGUUCAAAUUCCCACCUGCCCGAAGCUGGAGACCAUUGGUACCCCCCAUGAAUUGAUCUCUACUUUGUCCCAAAGCGCCGCCUCCAUUACCCUGCAAGUUACCGGGGAACCCUGGCAAAUUGCUUAAAGAAGAGUUACUUGACUGUAAUGCCGAAAGUUGAGCAGGGGUAAGGGACUGAAGCUGAGAAAGGAAUGAGGGAUUUAGACCUUGCGCUCCGGGAGGAACGGGCAUGGGAGGAGGGGGUUUAGGUAAACUUGGCGUUUGAGAAGGCGCAGGAGGUUGAGGGAUUUGAGAUGAAGGUUGGGCUUGCGAUUGCGCUGGAGAAGGAAGAGGGAGGGAAACAUUGGAGGUUGUACCAGGUGUUGACUGAGCACCGUUCACGGGCUGAGGAUUGCCUCUUGAUAUCGGACGAGUAUUUGUGGAAGGGGUGGAAGAAGGUAAACUUGGAGGAUUGAUGGUAGGCGUUGGUUGGGCAUUAGACGUUUCUGAUUCUGGGUUUUUGACUGAGCCAUUGGGGAUACUUGGUCCAGCCUCAGCGUUUGAUACCUUGCGCUUUUUGCUGGGCGGUGUCGGAGGCGGACUGCGUCCGUGAGUGUAGUAUUCGUCUGAUCUACGGUCGUAGAGGAGUUGUUGAGUGGAAAAGUCCCAUUGUGGUCCUCGGUCCUUGCGCGCCUGUACUAGUAAAGAGUUCCUGCCACCAAUGUCAAUGAGGGAUCAAGAUGUUGAUUUACCAACAAGAUAAACACACCAAUAGCUUGUGCUCUUUUUAAUAGCCUCUUUUUCCUUUUCUGUCAACUUCCUUUCACCUUUUGGCUUGGUCUCUUCUACCACAAUAGUAGAGACCUCUGGGAUCUCGCCGUUUGCCAACAUUUCUUGUUCCCUCGCAAUCUCUGCCAACCGCUUUUGUCUCCGCUUCCAAUGAAGAUGUGAUAGAUCAGGCAACUGGUAUUUCAACCUCGCCUCGAGCGUCGCAGGACUCGCCGUCGGUGUACCGAUAUUGGCUGGCGGCGUGCCGGGAUUUGCUACGGGUGUGGAUGUGCCGGCGUGCAAUACGGUCGCCGCAGAGAUGGGUGUCCCCGGCGUGCCCGCACCCGAGUCGUCCACGUGCGGUAUAGAAUGCUGUUGUUUCUCUCUCUCGUCCCUUUUCUCUGGAUCAUCAUCCCUAUCGCCAUGAUGCGGGCCCGGUGGGAGUUUGAGAUACCUAACGCGGUACUCUUCGAGCUGGUCGGGAGAUAAGAGGGACUGGAUGUCGAGUUUCUGGCCGUUCUUUGCGGCGAUACGCUGUGCUUCGAGGAGGACAUCUAGGGAUGGCGGCGGGGUUCUGGAU